CUCGAGGAAGAAGAGCACGGAGGGAGGCUGCCGACGGGGGGCUCCACGAGGUACACGGAGAAGGCCGACGUGUACAGCUUCGCCAUGAUAUGCUUCGAGCUCCUGACGGGGAAGGUACCCUUCGAGGACGGCCACCUACGGGGGGAGAAGAUGAGCAGGAACAUUAGGGCAGGAGAGAGGCCGCUCUUCCCCUUCCCCUCCCCCAAGCACCUCACCGGACUCACCAAGAAGUGCUGGCAGGCCGACCCGUCGCAGCGCCCGAGCUUCUCCGCCAUCUGCAGAGUCCUCCGCUGGGUCAAGCGCUUCCUCCUCCUCAAUCCCGACGCGGCGGCGCCGGGAGCGGCGGCGGACUAC
This 354-nucleotide long non-coding RNA is filed under the name Spirodela polyrhiza (greater duckweed). Its description in RNAcentral is "long non-coding RNA (SPOL_LNC002585)". Lineage: Eukaryota; Viridiplantae; Streptophyta; Magnoliopsida; Alismatales; Araceae. The record is from RNAcentral.